This 253-nucleotide ribosomal RNA is filed under the name uncultured bacterium. RNAcentral describes it as "partial 16S ribosomal RNA". It matches the Rfam family "Bacterial small subunit ribosomal RNA", at positions 524 to 776 of the family's 1533-position model. The record is from RNAcentral.
UACAGAGGGGGCAAGCGUUAUUCGGAAUUAUUGGGCGUAAAGGGCGCGUAGGCGGCCGGACAAGUGGAAGGUGAAAUCCCCGAGCUCAACUCGGGAACUGCCCUCCAAACUGUUUGGCUUGAGUCCGGGAGAGGUGAGUGGAAUUCCCAGUGUAGCGGUGAAAUGCGUAGAUAUUGGGAGGAACACCAGUGGCGAAGGCGGCUCACUGGACCGGAACUGACGCUGAGGCGCGAAAGCGUGGGGAGCGAACAGG